AGCAAAGUAAAACUUCAACAGCAAUGACUUUGCAACACAUUUCCCUUUGCGCUGCUCCUUUAAAUCCGCGUUUCAGUCAUCCGUGCCUCUGCGGUGCAAGCUUUCCUUUGCGCUUCAUUUUUUCUUUGCGCCUCGCUUUGUGUCCCUGAUUUGACGUGGGGGAGGGGUCAAGAGGUUGAGGUGUGUACAAGGGAUGAAGGCGCGUCCUUCUCGUUACGUCAUCAGCGCGAGCCCCAGACCGAGUGGAUCGAUCGAAAUGGAGGAGCAGAGACAUGCGGGUGAUGGAUCACAGGUGGAGGAAGAAGAAACUGAUCACUCUGCAUGGUAUGAUCAAAUUAUUAACUGUGGUUUUAUUGGGGCCGUUAAACCUGAGAACAAAGAGGCCAUAAUAAGAUCAAUUGUGCUUCAUGCAACUCUACGUUUGGUCCCUUUGUUGAAGCAAAUCUGAACAGGUCUUGAACUCUCCAAUCCUGGAAAACCAUUCAGGACUUUGCCACCAGUUCUUUUUCCCUGAUGUGGUGGAUGAUGAUGAUAAGGCUGAUGCAGACUUCAUCAUGCAGAACAUUCUUCCGAAAAUGUCGGAGAAGGGAUCAGUACAAGAGACUUAUGAAACCGCUAUAAUCAACUUUCUGCAAGACUUUCUCCAAGAAAUUGAAAGCUGUGUUAUGUAUGAACUGACAGAGUUGAUUUAGUAUAAAUAUUGUAAAAAAAACCCCACAAAUUAAUGUUAAAAUGUAAUUGAUUUAAUUCAGACAAUAUCAACCCCAUCCAAGCCAUUCAAUUUGACAACGGUUUAAACUGAAUUUAAAAUUAUACUAAAGGUAUGGAAUUGUACAUGUUCAGGAAAAUAAAAACUUUUAUACAUUGGUAAAUGUUCUUAUGGUUUUGAAAUUUACUGUGUAUGUGUAGAGAACACAACGUGUUACAUAAUGUAAAAUUGUAUAUCUUAAUGAAUGUGUUAAGAGAACACAAGUUGUUAUACUAGCCAUUUUCUGCUUUAAAUAUAGCCAAUACAGAAAAUAAAACAAGCAUGCAAUGUCA
Carassius auratus (goldfish) is the source of this 1041-nucleotide long non-coding RNA. RefSeq lists it as uncharacterized. The transcript has 4 exons. NCBI's taxonomy places the organism in Eukaryota, Metazoa, Chordata, Actinopteri, Cypriniformes, Cyprinidae. The record is from RefSeq and is a predicted model, not a curated record.